Long non-coding RNA from Amphiprion ocellaris (clown anemonefish), 1884 nucleotides. The record is from Ensembl. NCBI's taxonomy places the organism in Eukaryota, Metazoa, Chordata, Actinopteri, Pomacentridae.
AGGGGCCCGUUUAAAACAGCUGAAAUCAGAGGUCAUGCAGUCAUGUUGAAAAAACCCAUCUUUGCAGUAUUUUAAGCUGUACCAUUGAAAACCCACUGUGAUGACAUGUGAAACUUGCAUUAAUUUGUUACAAAGGGGCACGUUAUGGAAGCUUGUUUGUGCUAUGGGCAGACCAUGCAUAUCUCAGGUGGGUCUUUAUUAUUCUUGUCUGUAGGUUCUGCUGCUCACGAGGAGUAAUCAACCAAGCACUUAUUAGUUAAAAUAAAACUUGACAGCAAAAAUAGCUGGCAAAAACAGCAUGUGUAUUGUUUAAUGCCAUGUGAUAGAUGGUCAGAGUUGACUUAUUUUGCUUGAGUACAAACCUGGAAUGAGACGACAAAGGAUCUUAAUGAGCUCACCUGUUGUGACCCUAAUUAACACAUGUGCAAGUGGUAGCUGAAAUGCCAGUAUUAAAGGCUGCGAUUCAGUUGCUCUGCUUCAUAGCACAGUGCUUUCCAUCUGGUUCAGGUGUGCAUCUCCAUUAUGGAAUGUGAAGCUGGAGGGAGACGUAGAGCACGUCACAUUGUGGCCGUCAUUUUGCUCCUGUGCUCUUUAGUCCCAAAUUCCACUUCUCUUAGCUUGCAAGGGUUGAGCAAAGCAGUUAAAGAAGACAAGGGAGGUAAUGAAGCACCAGCCAUUGAUGUAAAGACAGGAAGCAUUGGCAUUAAUGGGAAAGAGCUUAACUUCCAGUCAGGAUCUGCUUCUGCUCCAGGAAAUGAACUGCUACGUGUUGACUUGGAUCCAUCAGACAGCACAGAGAUGUUGGAGCUGGAGAAGGACUUCUCUAAUAAAGCAGAAUGGAAGCGCUUGACCUCUUCACUACACUGUGGUCUUGACAAGAUGAAGCUAAUGUUCACAGGACUUGGUGCUGCUGACUUACAACUGGACAUGGGCAAUGCACCUCCCUUGCCUCUGAUGCAGGUGCUGGAAACUUGUGACUACUUGAUGCAGCAGAAUGAGCUGGGCCUUGAUUUAAUUGUUCCUUAUGAUGGCUGCAAUGUGAUACAAGAGAAUGGACGAUACGUGUUGCAAAUGAGAUUGCAAGAGACUCCAGUUAAAUUUGCCUGCCCCAUGUUGCCAAGUCCUGAUUCAACACCUGGUUCAACUGCCUCUGAGCCUUUGCAACAGCCCUGGGAAGUUUCUUUUUCUCCUGGGUCCAAUAGCCGUCGUCGUUCUAAACGACAUAUAGGAUGGCCUCCCAUCUGUGACCCUCAUUAUCUGUCAUAUUAUUCCUGUCCGUACUACAUAUAUGUGGCAGAGUUCUCAAAACCCAACACUCCUGCGCCUCCUCCCUAUUAUCCGUACAAUCCAUAUUACAUUAAUAGCCCCAACUACCCCUACAAACCUUUCCCAUCGACACCGUUGAAACCUGCCCGGCCUUGCAGUACCACAGCUUCCCCCACUACACCUGCUACUACACCUGCUACUACAACUAAAAAGUGCUCCCGUGGAAAACCCGCCAUUACUGAGUAUCCAGGCCAAAUUCGUCAAGACACUUCUUUUCACAAGCUUCCCUUUCCUGUACCAAUAUCACAUUUUCCGAGGGCUGGCCAAUUCCUGGAGAACCAAAAAUAUAUGCCUGAAUCUGGAUUCCAGGAUCCAGUACUUUCAGGCUUUCACUGGGAGUCUGUUCCCUGGUUUCCUCAGUCAGCAGAUCAAGGCAAUUAUCAAUUUGACUAAAAACAUCCACAACCUGAUGUCAAACCUCAAGUGGUAAGGAUCACCUGUUAACUGUGACUGGUUAAACUGAUAUGAAGUGCAAAAUUUGUAAACCAUACCUGUCUUUCUUUCAAGUGUCCUGUGGUGUUUAUAACGCAAAAUAAACAUUUUUAUUUAGAACUUGGC